RNAcentral lists this ribosomal RNA (429 nucleotides) under Chloroflexota bacterium. Its description in RNAcentral is "Chloroflexi bacterium partial 16S ribosomal RNA". It matches the Rfam family "Bacterial small subunit ribosomal RNA", at positions 355 to 776 of the family's 1533-position model. The record is from RNAcentral. Lineage: Bacteria; Bacillati; Chloroflexota.
UGGGGAAUAUUGCACAAUGGGCGCAAGCCUGAUGCAGCCAUGCCGCGUGUGUGAAGAAGGCCUUCGGGUUGUAAAGCACUUUCAGCGGGGAGGAAGGCGUUAAGGUUAAUAACCUUGGCGAUUGACGUUACCCGCAGAAGAAGCACCGGCUAACUCCGUGCCAGCAGCCGCGGUAAUACGGAGGGUGCAAGCGUUAAUCGGAAUUACUGGGCGUAAAGCGCACGCAGGCGGUCUGUCAAGUCGGAUGUGAAAUCCCCGGGCUCAACCUGGGAACUGCAUUCGAAACUGGCAGGAUAGAGUCUUGUAGAGGGGGGUAGAAUUCCAGGUGUAGCGGUGAAAUGCGUAGAGAUCUGGAGGAAUACCGGUGGCGAAGGCGGCCCCCUGGACAAAGACUGACGCUCAGGUGCGAAAGCGUGGGGAGCAAACAGG